RNAcentral lists this non-coding RNA (21 nucleotides) under Caenorhabditis elegans. Lineage: Eukaryota; Metazoa; Nematoda; Chromadorea; Rhabditida; Rhabditidae. The record is from RNAcentral.
UGGCUUGUAUGAUACACAAUU